CUCAGGCCAGGCAUUACUCAGUAAUAACUCAUGAAGAAACUCAGUGAAUACGAUAGUGGUGCUCACUUAUUGGCUGAUCUAACUCACAUCACCAGGGUGACUUCGUUAUGCGUGAGUUCUGAGUGCUUAGUUUCGUGAAUUCGAACUGAGUCGGAAAUGAGUUUUGCUUGGGCAAAUCUAGUUUCCUGCGCAAUGCAUGAGUUCUCGCGAAUUCACGUGCAGUUGUGCGUGAGGUACCCCCGGCUUGAAGAUGCGCGCAUGCGCGGCAGGGCGAGUUUCCUGCGUGAUGCGUGAGUUCGCGUGAUGAGUAUUAUAGCCGUUGCGUUCGAAAACCGCGGCGCGCGCUUCAGUCCGUUGUGGCGCGGUGACUCGCGUAGUUCACGUUGAAUUGUUGAGGCUAUUGUGAAAUUAUGCAGGAGAGUGCAGGAGCGGGGAAGGCGUGCAGCGAAGGAUGGGACGGGUAAGUUAUCUGUGAAGAGCUCGGUGAUUGUCGAUGAAGCUUUUAUCAAUCGCAUGCGCCGCGGAGAACAGGGAGGUGAACGGAUGGACCAGCAGACAUUCCCCGCCGGCGUCAGGAGUUCGGUGCCAACCGUGAACGGCGGAGCAGAUCGAUCGAGAAACUGAGGGAUACCUACCCGGCAUAGUUCGAGAAAGAAGAGGGAACGGCCCAUUGAGCCUCCUCUGCAUCUUGGCGGAGAAGGCGUCAGUGGUGGCGUACACGGGUGACGAAAAUUUGGAUCACCCCUAUCAUAACAAGUCCGAAGGAAACGAACGGUGCCGCCUCAUCGUGGAGCGAACGGAAUUCUUGUGGGGAUCCAUGGUUUGGAAGGGAGUCUUUUGCUGUGGACGACGGCGCACUUUGUGCUCAGUCAACAAACGGCGCACAAAGUGCGAAACACGCUGUGGUUUGUGUGUAUCCAUGUGCUCCACACACCAUUCAAUGCUGAGCGCCAGCCACCUGUAGCCGCGAAGACUGAGGUCGAGAAGCUGGCAAAAUAGUGAAGCUGAGCUGACGUGGAGUCGAUCCCCCCCCCCCCCCGACGCAGUUUGGCGUGUGUCAGAAUUGAAAUACAGCGCAAUGCGACCGUUUCUACAAACA
Amphibalanus amphitrite is the source of this 1099-nucleotide long non-coding RNA. RefSeq lists it as uncharacterized. The record is from RefSeq and is a predicted model, not a curated record. The transcript is spliced from 2 exons. Lineage: Eukaryota; Metazoa; Arthropoda; Thecostraca; Balanomorpha; Balanidae.